UAGGGGAGUCGGGGCUCGGAUCCCCUCCCCAAGCUCAGGGUAACUUUUGAAGUGGAGGGGAC
This is a non-coding RNA of Ictidomys tridecemlineatus (thirteen-lined ground squirrel), 62 nucleotides long. The record is from Rfam. NCBI's taxonomy places the organism in Eukaryota, Metazoa, Chordata, Mammalia, Rodentia, Sciuridae.